GGAUAGUUAUGCUGUUGUAUGCAUGGGACCGGGGAUUUGAAUGGAGUCUGCUGCAAGUGCUUUCUGCGAAGAAAUAAACAUAGCAUUUCCACUAUUAAACGUGGAAAGGAGUAUGUCCAUUGGAAUGUGAGGGCAGAGAUUGAAGAAUAAGGGGAAUCUCAAAAUUAGUAUACGUCAGUUUUUUCAGCCUUUCAGUUUCCACAUUUCAGGACUCUGCAACCCAAGUUCUUUCAUUUCAGAUGGUCACCGGAAGAAGAAGAUUUCCUGCAUCUAUUUUAUUUAGACUCUUCAUUGUUCUUGUUCGUAAUUGUAUUUGCAGUGAAAACAAUUCUACUUUAUUUUCCCUUCAGCAAAAGUUAAUAUGUCAUAUAAAAAUAACUGUGUUGUAGUCUUUAAUCUUGGUCCAAAAGUCCUCAAUAUUGUUACAGUACAUGCAUUCAAGUAGAUACAUACAUAUGUACAACAUAUAUUUCUGUCUACAUGCGCUGACACACAGACACACACACACACACACACACACACACACACACACACACACACACACACACACACGAUCACACUAAGGUUCAAUUUCUGGCAUAUGCUAAUUACCUCUGAAUUGUGAAAAGUGAAUGACUGCCAUUCCCAUUUUGGAAGACAUUGCACAUGCUUGGUUGAAUAAUUACUCCCAGUCAUUAAGACAAGGCAUUUUAGUAUUGUGGUGCGGAUUCAUCAGACAGCGGGCAUAAUGAUAACUGUGAAGCUGAUUUAUAAAGCAAGUACUUUGUGCUAUAUGGUUUCACUGUCUGGGCUCUCUGCAAAGUAGUCCGCCCUACUUUGUCAUGGUUCACCUUAGUUACAUUUGAUGGAUUUUCUAUUCCACUUUCAUUGGCUUUUUUUUUAGUAACAUCCCAUUUUGCUGACCUUACAUGAAUUUGCACCUCACCUUUGUAAUUUGUAUGGCAAGUUCUAGAGUAAUUUCUGCUGUAUGUUAAUAUAUUCAGGUCACAUGACUUAAGCAUUAUACUAUAAAAUAUGUUAACCCUACCUUGUACUUUGGACAGAUGCUAAGCUGUGUCUUGUGAAUUUAUUAUUAAAAGCUACUACUCUAAUGCUAUCCGCUAGUAGAAGUUAUACCCAAGCCCUAUUAUUGAUAUAAAAAUACCUAUUUUAUAAGCCACACUGGAGUACUAAUGUUAAAAAGUGUAAGAACAUUUUUGAAGUAGAGUUGCUAGACAUUGUGAGCACAAAUAAUUAAAUAUAUGGGGCUUUAGGUCUUCAUGCUGUUUUAAUGUUUUAUACAAUAACACAUAUGUGAUCUAGUGCGAGUCAGGCAAACAUUAACCAAAUAAGCACUUGAACAAGAUAAAUGUGGUAUAGUUAUAAAGAGGAGACUGUGCCUGAUGAGUCCUCUGUCUAUUGUUCUGUUAGAGACUUUGAGAAAUAUAAAUAUUAGAGGUAUGACUGCAUGAUGCAAGUCUCCCAUGUGCUGUAGAAGGAACUAUGGUACCAGGUCUUAAAAAGGCAUUCUGUUGAUUUACCAAUGGAGUACUGACUCUUGUGUGAGCCUUUUUGGCCUGCCUACAGACGUACUGAAUUUGUUUUAAUUAGAUACUUUAUGUACCUUCUUUGCAAACAAAUGUAAUAAAGAUUGAAUAAAAGCAUAA
This is a long non-coding RNA of Protopterus annectens (West African lungfish), 1646 nucleotides long. RefSeq lists it as uncharacterized. Lineage: Eukaryota; Metazoa; Chordata; Ceratodontiformes; Protopteridae. The record is from RefSeq and is a predicted model, not a curated record. The transcript has 3 exons.